UACGGAGGAUGCGAGCGUUAUCCGGAUUUAUUGGGUUUAAAGGGUGCGUAGGCGGACGCUUAAGUCAGCGGUAAAAUUGCGGGGCUCAACCUCGUCGAGCCGUUGAAACUGGGUGCCUUGAGUGGGCGAGAAGUACGCGGAAUGCGUGGUGUAGCGGUGAAAUGCAUAGAUAUCACGCAGAACUCCGAUUGCGAAGGCAGCGUACCGGCGCCCAACUGACGCUGAAGCACGAAAGCGUGGGGAUCGAACAGG
RNAcentral lists this ribosomal RNA (252 nucleotides) under uncultured bacterium. Its description in RNAcentral is "partial 16S ribosomal RNA". It matches the Rfam family "Bacterial small subunit ribosomal RNA", at positions 524 to 776 of the family's 1533-position model. The record is from RNAcentral.